Long non-coding RNA from Prunus avium (sweet cherry), 524 nucleotides. RefSeq lists it as uncharacterized. NCBI's taxonomy places the organism in Eukaryota, Viridiplantae, Streptophyta, Magnoliopsida, Rosales, Rosaceae. The record is from RefSeq and is a predicted model, not a curated record.
AGAAUAGCCAAAAUAUCUGUGUGACAGCCUCUCUUCCUUUCUUUACUCUCGUCGUCUCAUGUGCUCUCACUUUCUUCAUAUAUAUAGUCUUUCUUCUCCUCCUGUGCAGCCUCUCUUGAUCUUACCGAAUACCCGAAAGGCAGAGAGAAGACACUUCCAAACCAAUGUCAAGUGUUGUCAUUAGUUUCUUCAAGUAUAGGAACUCUUAAAUAUGCAACUGGGUUGUUGGUUGCUUUUUGGCAUGGGUGGUGUAGGAAAGAUGGACCAUGAUUUGGUUGGUGCAAAGAUACAACAUGGUUGUAUUUAUGAAAUAACACAUUUUUAUACUGGCCGCAAACAAAGUUGUUCCACAUGCUGCACAUUUGUUCUUCAAUGCAAGAACAAUUUUCACCAAGCUCUCAAGUGUUCACCCACAGAUUCUGAGACAUCAGUUGUAUUUUCUUAAUUAUAGUGGCAUUUUGGUUGAACUAAGCAUUCUCCCUUCAUUUUACAUGUUUUUUUUUUUUUUUUCUAGUAUUUUGCUU